This 427-nucleotide ribosomal RNA is filed under the name uncultured bacterium. Its description in RNAcentral is "partial 16S ribosomal RNA". It matches the Rfam family "Bacterial small subunit ribosomal RNA", at positions 355 to 774 of the family's 1533-position model. The record is from RNAcentral.
UGGGGAAUAUUGCACAAUGGGCGCAAGCCUGAUGCAGCCAUGCCGCGUGUAUGAAGAAGGCCUUCGGGUUGUAAAGUACUUUCAGCGGGGAGGAAGGCGAUAAGGUUAAUAACCUUGUCGAUUGACGUUACCCGCAGAAGAAGCACCGGCUAACUCCGUGCCAGCAGCCGCGGUAAUACGGAGGGUGCAAGCGUUAAUCGGAAUUACUGGGCGUAAAGCGCACGCAGGCGGUCUGUCAAGUCGGAUGUGAAAUCCCCGGGCUCAACCUGGGAACUGCAUUCGAAACUGGCAGGCUAGAGUCUUGUAGAGGGGGGUAGAAUUCCAGGUGUAGCGGUGAAAUGCGUAGAGAUCUGGAGGAAUACCGGUGGCGAAGGUGGCCCCCUGGACAAAGACUGACGCUCAGGUGCGAAAGCGUGGGGAGCGAACA